This 228-nucleotide microRNA precursor is filed under the name Gossypium raimondii (Peruvian cotton). RNAcentral describes it as "miR8663a stem-loop (gra-MIR8663a)". The record is from miRBase by way of RNAcentral. Lineage: Eukaryota; Viridiplantae; Streptophyta; Magnoliopsida; Malvales; Malvaceae.
CCGUGUCAGGUUUGAACUUGGCAACUUUUUUCACAUUGAGACCUAAACUUUUUUUUAUCCAAGUUAGACCCUAAACUUGGUAAUUAUUCCCACAUUAAGCUUGAACUUACAAUUGUUCUCACAUUGGGGUUUGAAUUUGAGGGUUUUCAAGGGCUAAUUUAGAUAAAAAAAGAUUUCAUGUCCCAAUGUGAGAACAUUUGUCAAGUUUAGUGCCUAACUUUGACAACA